Molecule: ribosomal RNA, 378 nt
Filed under: uncultured eukaryote
Lineage: Eukaryota
Description: partial 18S ribosomal RNA
Rfam family: Eukaryotic small subunit ribosomal RNA
Source: RNAcentral
CAAUAGCGUAUAUUAAAGUUGUUGCAGUUAAAAAGCUCGUAGUCGGAUUUCGGGACGGGCCAGUUGGUCCGCCGCAAGGUGUGUUACUGACUGGUCUGUUCUUCUUCGCAAAGACUGCGUGUGCUCUUCGUUGAGUGUGCGUAGGAUUUACGACGUUUACUUUGAAAAAAUUAGAGUGUUCAAAGCAGGCUAUCGCUUGAAUACAUGAGCAUGGAAUAAUGGAAUAGGACUUUGGUCCUAUUUUGUUGGUUUCUAGGACCGAAGUAAUGAUUAAGAGGGACAAUUGGGGGCAUCCGUAUUUCGUUGUCAGAGGUGAAAUUCUUGGAUUUACGAAAGACGAACAACUGCGAAAGCACUUGCCAAGAGUGUUUUCAUUAA